GCUGCCUUCUUCCACAAAGAAGCCGGAACUUUAUACGUUGCAAGCGCCACCAUAUCCACCACCGCACAUGGGACACAGCAGCAGAUUGCUGCACACUCCGCUGUUGCAUUUCCAGCCACUUCUCCGACGCUGCGACGACGGUUUUGGAGUUGGUUCUGGCGAGUCAUUAUGGAAAGAAAAAGAAGAAGAAAAAACGUGAAAGAGAAGGAGGAAAAGACUAGAGAGGUGGUGGUAGGAACGGAGGCAUGAGAGAAGAACGCCGGCGAGGCAUUUGAGAGGCUACCUCAUGAUGGGCCGGAGCAGGAGGAGAAAGAAGAAUAGGGUUUAUGAUAAAUGAGAGAGUACUUUUGAAAGCGGUUAAAGUGGGAAAUGGUUGGGAGAGAUUAAAAGGUGGGAUUGAGAGAAGAAAUAUAGGAAUAUGAAUGA
This 426-nucleotide long non-coding RNA is filed under the name Medicago truncatula (barrel medic). RNAcentral describes it as "long non-coding RNA (MTRU_LNC008813)". The record is from RNAcentral. Lineage: Eukaryota; Viridiplantae; Streptophyta; Magnoliopsida; Fabales; Fabaceae.